This 355-nucleotide unclassified non-coding RNA is filed under the name soil metagenome. RNAcentral describes it as "partial contains 5.8S ribosomal RNA, internal transcribed spacer 2, and large subunit ribosomal RNA". The stretch from base 1 to 120 matches the Rfam family "5.8S ribosomal RNA", at positions 35 to 154 of the family's 154-position model. The record is from RNAcentral.
GAUGAAGAACGUAGCGAAAUGCGAUAAGUAAUGUGAAUUGCAGAAUUCAGUGAAUCAUCGAAUCUUUGAACGCACAUUGCGCCCAUUAGUAUUCUAGUGGGCAUGCCUGUUCGAGCGUCAUUAAGUCCACUUAAGCCCUGCUUAGUGUUGGGAGACUGCUCCAGCGGUGCUACCCUGUUGCUACCCUGCAGCUCCUCAAAGACAGCGGCGGAGUUGUGGUAUCCUCUGAGCUUAGUAACUUGUUCUAGCUUUCGAGUACACCACUUCCCCUGCCGUAAAACCCUUAAUUUUUAAUGGUUGACCUCGGAUCAGGUAGGAAUACCCGCUGAACUUAAGCAUAUCAAUAAGCGGAGGA